Molecule: long non-coding RNA, 1360 nt
Organism: Triticum dicoccoides
Lineage: Eukaryota; Viridiplantae; Streptophyta; Magnoliopsida; Poales; Poaceae
Exons: 5
Source: RefSeq, a predicted model, not a curated record
CGCAGCGCCUGAAACCCACGCAUGGUAGUCUACGCGCCGUCGCUAUGCUCCCCACGCGUCGCCUGCCCUGACGGCCCGAGGAUCCUCACGCCGUCUUGGCUGGAUUGUGCAAAGAGAUGACGUUGAACCUUUGGUUGCACGGCGCGGCGGCUCGCCAUGGGACUCAACAGUACGGUGGCCAGUCCCGUGACACCAUGCCUCUCCCACCUCUUUCGGUGGCUUUCUCUGCUGCCCCUGGAGCUCAACGUGGAGGGACUCGCCAUGCAUCGCGCAUCGUUCUGGACGCGGCUGCCCACUACCCUGCAAGUCGACUGUUCCAACGCCCACAAGUGUUCGACGUUAUGUUUGGACAGCUGUAGGAUUCUCCAUGGAAUCUUCGAACAGAUCAAUGGAUAAAGCAAAAGAAAAUCCAUACAGGGCUCUGUCAGGCUUGCUGCUUCAGGUCGUCCUCCCCAAGAGUGUGAGAAGAAGCAGCUGCUGCAGAAUGCAUCGCACGCUAUAUACUCAUGGGUCUUCAGGACAGAAAUGGGAGGCUCUUCUACAAGCUCAUGAUCGACAUCGGGGAGCUGCAUAUCCUUAUUUAUAGAGAUAAUUAGAAGUUUGAGAGAAAUUUAGUGUGCUCUGCAUCUAAUUUCAGAGAAAGUACAUCUACUGUAGUAGCAUGCAAGUGGGUUCAUGCCAUUAUACAUAGCACGUUCCAGCUGUUGUAUAUCCUUGCUUUGAGAGACAAUUAGUAGUUUCUGAGAAUAUAUUUCAUAGCACGAGCACAUAGCUAUGAGAGAUUAUUAGAGCAGUAGUUCUACCUACUACCACAUGUAUUUUUUCGUUGAUUGUACAAGUUCACAUGUACAUCUCUGAAUAAAGAAGAACCUUAUUACUGAAGUUAUAGAACAGAGGUGGUGUUGCUCUAUAUGUACAGGCUAUUAUUUGCAUGCUUUGCUGAGUAAGUGCAGUUUAGAAUGAGUUGAAAUCUAAGAGCAGACAGUUGCAUGUUCGACUUCCGUUGUGCAGUACCAUUUCUUACUUCCAAUUAGAAUAGUUGUCGUUCAGUAUUUGCCUAGCUCUAAUACCAUUCUUCACAAAAUACAUACACCUUUUUUAGUGUCUGAAUUUUAUUAUCUGUUGGUGAUCAGUUUUUCCUACUCCAGUUGUUGGAUGUGCUAUCCUCCCUUCUCACUCUCGGGCUCUAGCAGCAAAUGGACGCGCAAGCAUCACAAAGCAGCUCAGCUCCAUCGCCUUCAGUGGUGGCAAGCAUUAGCUUGAUCAAUCUAAUCCCGGCGGAUGCGCUACUUUUUGUUCAUGCCCACGUGUAUUUGUGUCUGCAAAGGAGCGAGCAUACUAGAGGGAUGGUUGGAAGGGG